RNAcentral lists this ribosomal RNA (246 nucleotides) under uncultured eukaryote. RNAcentral describes it as "partial large subunit ribosomal RNA". It matches the Rfam family "Eukaryotic large subunit ribosomal RNA", at positions 40 to 280 of the family's 3401-position model. The record is from RNAcentral.
AUAUUAAUAAGCGGAGGAAAAGAAACUAACCAGGAUUCCCCUAGUAACGGCGAGUGAAGCGGGAAGAGCCCAGCACCGAAUCGCACGCCGCUUCGGCGUCGCGAACUGUGGUGUUUAGGACGAGCGCAUGCGCGGCGAGACGGCGUCAGAGUCCUCCUGAUCGGGGCCUUACCCAAAGCGGGUGCAAGGCCUCUACGGCUUGCGGCCGGUUCUCGAAGGUCGUCCUAGGAGUCGGGUUGUUGCGAG